GUUUUGGCUUAGUGGUAGAGUGCUUGCCUAGCAUGUGUGAGGCACUGGGUUCAAUCCUCAGCACCACA
RNAcentral lists this transfer RNA (68 nucleotides) under Marmota monax (woodchuck). RNAcentral's name for it is "tRNA.Ala". Lineage: Eukaryota; Metazoa; Chordata; Mammalia; Rodentia; Sciuridae. The record is from RNAcentral.